GAAGCAAAGCCGCGAGGUAGAGCAAAUCUCAAAAAAACAAUCUCAGUUCAGACUGCAGGCUGCAACUCGCCUGCACGAAGUCGGAAUUGCUAGUAAUCGUAGGUCAGCAUACUACGGUGAAUACGUUCCCGGGCCUUGUACACACCGCCCGUCAAACCAUGAGAGUUGGCAACACCCGAAGUCGGUAGUCUAACCGCAAGGAGGACGCCGCCGAAGGUGGGGUUNAUGAUUAGGGUUAAGUCGUAACAAGGUAAC
RNAcentral lists this ribosomal RNA (255 nucleotides) under uncultured bacterium. RNAcentral's name for it is "partial 16S ribosomal RNA". It matches the Rfam family "Bacterial small subunit ribosomal RNA", at positions 1246 to 1500 of the family's 1533-position model. The record is from RNAcentral.